RNAcentral lists this small RNA (106 nucleotides) under Marmota monax (woodchuck). Lineage: Eukaryota; Metazoa; Chordata; Mammalia; Rodentia; Sciuridae. The record is from RNAcentral.
GCCGGGUGUGGUGACAAACACCUGUAAUCUCAGCUACUUGGGAGACUGAGGCAGGUGGACAGGAGUUCCAGGUCAUCCUGGGCAACUUAUCAAGACCCUGCCUCAA